UAAGAUUUUAUGUACAGAAGUUAAUGUGAAUAAAUAUUAAAUUUUUAUAAUAUAAGUUUUAUUUUAAUUUCGUCUGUCGGACAGUUUACGAGUAGUGCAUUUGGUAAAAAGUUAUAUCAAUAUAUUAAUGUAUGGGGUGUUUAAUGAACCACUAUGUUAUAGAUAUCUUUGUUUCAGUAUCAAAAACAAUGUAAUUAAUUUGUAUUACAAAACAUGCCUGAAGCCAUAACUGACAAUGAAGAAGAAAUUGUGUUGCAAAAAUAUACUCUAGAGGUCAUUGAAUACUUAAAAUUGUACAUUAAUCAUUCAACAGAUUUACCAUACGUACUCUGCACAAAAACGAAUGUUGAAACAUAAUCUUGUAUUGGUGCAAUGGUGAAUGUUAUUUAAGUAUUUUAUGGUUAUACUUUGUUUCAGCGUGAAUAAAUGUUCAUAAUUUUCAUUACAAACAUGCCAUAGGAUAUAACUUACAACGAAGAAGAAAAGAAUUUUGCAGAAAUGCGGACGUGGGAACAUGAAAUACUCAGAUAUGUAAAUUGAUUAUUCGACAGAUUUAGCUUACGUACUCUGUCUAACAAAGAACGUUGCAACACAAUCUUGUAUUGGUGCAAUGGUGAACGUUAUUUAACUAUUUUAUGGUUUUAUUUUGUUUCAGCGUGAAUAAAUGAUCAUAAUUUUCAUUACAAACAUGCCAUAAGAUAUAACUUACAACGAAGAAGAAAAGAAUUUUGCAGAAAUACGGACGUGGGAACAUGAAAUACUCAGAUAUGUACAUUGAUUAUUCAACAGAUUUAGCCGUGAAUAAAUGUUCAUAAUUUUCAUUACAAACAUGCAUGAAGCCAUAACUUACAACGAAGAAGAAAAGAAUUUUGCAGAAAUACGGACGUGGGAACAUGAAAUACUCAGAUAUGUACAUUGAUUAUUCAACAGAUUUAGCAUUGAAUAAAUGUUCAUAAUUUUCAUUACAAACAUGCCAGAAGAUAUAACUUACAACAAAGAAGAAAAGAAUUUUGCAGAAAUACGGACGUGGGAACAUGAAAUACUCAGAUAUGUACAUUGAUUAUUCAACAGAUUUAGCCUGAAUAAAUGUUCAUAAUUUUCAUUACAAACAUGCCAGAAGAUAUAACUUACAACGAAGAAGAAAAGAAUUUUGCAGAAAUACGGACGUGGGAACAUGAAAUACUCAGAUAUGUACAUUGAUUAUUCAACAGAUUUAGCCGUGAAUAAAUGUUCAUAGUUUUCAUUACAAACAUGCAUGAAGCCAUAACUUACAACGAAGAAGAAAAGAAUUUUGCAGAAAUACGGACGUGGGAACAUGAAAUACUCAGAUAUGUACAUUGAUUAUUCAACAGAUUUAGCUGACGAGCUGCCCAUUCUAAUCAAAUCAUGUAGACUGCUUAUUCCGGUUGGGGCCACCCACAUCUGUCCUACUGUAUACAAUUGUGGCGAGAUUGAUUAAAUAGUGACUUUCAUCGACUGUGCUGUCAGAACUAUUGCAAACUAUAUUUAAGCAACUAUUAUAUCGUCGUGUAGGGGUUAGGGACUUUAACUAAUAUUCCAAAUGUUUAUAUAUAACCAUUUAUACAUAGACUGUCUGACAAAACAAUGUAUAUACAUUUAUAUAAUUAUUUUUAACAAUAAACUGCGAUACUUUU
This is a long non-coding RNA of Homalodisca vitripennis (glassy-winged sharpshooter), 1655 nucleotides long. RefSeq lists it as uncharacterized. NCBI's taxonomy places the organism in Eukaryota, Metazoa, Arthropoda, Insecta, Hemiptera, Cicadellidae. The record is from RefSeq and is a predicted model, not a curated record. The transcript has 5 exons.